UACGUAGGUGGCGAGCGUUGUCCGGAUUUACUGGGCGUAAAGAGCGCGCAGGCGGUCGUUCAAGUCGCGUGUGAAAGCCCCCGGCUCAACUGGGGAGGGUCACGCGAUACUGAUCGACUCGAAGGCAGGAGAGGGAAGUGGAAUUCCCGGUGUAGUGGUGAAAUGCGUAGAUAUCGGGAGGAACACCAGUGGCGAAGGCGACUUCCUGGCCUGUUCUUGACGCUGAGGCGCGAAAGCUAGGGGAGCAAACGGGG
This 254-nucleotide ribosomal RNA is filed under the name uncultured bacterium. Its description in RNAcentral is "partial 16S ribosomal RNA". It matches the Rfam family "Bacterial small subunit ribosomal RNA", at positions 524 to 777 of the family's 1533-position model. The record is from RNAcentral.